ACACUCCUACGGGAGGCAGCAGUGGGGAAUAUUGGACAAUGGGCGCAAGCCUGAUCCAGCCAUGCCGCGUGAGUGAUGAAGGCCCUAGGGUUGUAAAGCUCUUUCACCGGUGAAGAUAAUGACGGUAACCGGAGAAGAAGCCCCGGUUAACUUCGUGCCAGCAGCCGCGGUAAUACGAAGGGGGCUAGCGUUGUUCGGAUUUACUGGGCGUAAAGCGCACGUAGGCGGACUAUUAAGUCAGGGGUGAAAUCCCGGGGCUCAACCCCGGAACUGCCUUUGAUACUGGUAGUCUUGAGUUCGAGAGAGGUGAGUGGAAUUCCGAGUGUAGAGGUGAAAUUCGUAGAUAUUCGGAGGAACACCAGUGGCGAAGGCGGCUCACUGGCUCGAUACUGACGCUGAGGUGCGAAAGCGUGGGGAGCAAACAGGAUUAGAAACCCCGGUAGUCCC
This 447-nucleotide ribosomal RNA is filed under the name uncultured organism. Its description in RNAcentral is "partial 16S ribosomal RNA". It matches the Rfam family "Bacterial small subunit ribosomal RNA", at positions 333 to 797 of the family's 1533-position model. The record is from RNAcentral.